CUGAAUGUGAUGUUGAGGGACAGCUGUGUGUGCGUGUGUGUGCGUGUGUGUACGUGCAUGCAUGCAUGUAACGACAAUUGUACAGAUAUGCAUGUAACAGCAAUUAACAAUACUUUAAAAAGAGGUCAUGAAUUUGAAAGUGAGAAAAGGGGGGUACGUGGGAGGGUGUAGAGGAGGGAAGUGAAGGGAAAAUUAUAAUCUCAAAAAAUUAAAAGAAUUUUAAAAAAAGAAAGACAUGAACAAGGUGAACAACAAGCUAGGCGUAGACAGAUGAAACAGGAGGUGGAGUUAUUCUACACAUCCGAACAAGGAGACCAUUGAACUAAUCUCAGGAGAAACAGACUCUGUUGGGGCGCAGGCUUCAGGCCAUAAACAGAAGCUGGGAGUCAGCUUUCUGGUCCUCCUCUUCACGUUUACCCAUGGAGCCAUCUCCCCUGUCCUGCAACUGGUUCUUAUCUCUUCACCUACUUGUAAUCCCAAGGAAAGAAGCGAGGAGGAAGCUUUCUGGAGACUACAGCUUGCCAAGCAGGCACACUGUCUUGGAGUUCAUCCCCAGAACCACAUAAACUUGGCAUGGUGGCACGCACCUUCACUCUUAGUACUUAGGAGGCAGAUGGGAGGAUCUGGAGUUCAAGGGCAGCCUGGGCUACACAGACAAAAAGUUAUGUCAAAAAGUAAUUACACAAUGACAACAGUAAAACAAAAUCAACACCAACAAAAUCCAAUCUAUGGCAUUCCUUUGUAAUAUGCUGUGGUUUUCCACUUGUACGUAUACAUGUAGAGCUAUCCAUAAAGUGAUUUAACUACAUAAAAUCUGUGAUGUUUUGGAUGAAAACAAGAAAUUAUUGAGCACAAUACAUACAUUUUCACCUUGCUGCUUAUAGUCAGUUUGAUAUAGGAAAUGUUUGAGCUUUACAAGAAUUUUUUAAUAUAACUUAGUUUCUUAUCAUGAGGUCACACUUUAAAAAAUAAACAAAUACUAAAUUUUAGAUGAGCUUGUUCAAACGUAGCUGGAAAUGUUUCAUUAAAGAUAUAUGAAGAAACUGUUCAAAACUAUUAAAUUUUGUUUACUAAAAAUAAAGCUUAUAGGAAAUAGAAACAGCCAGUGUGGGGAGGAGCAUGGAGGGCAGGAAGGAAAUAGAUGAGAACAGAAAACAGCGGCACGAAUGUGUGAAGAUGCAUGAUGCAACUCCUUUCUUUGUGUGACAACCUGAAAAAAAACAACAAAUGUAAAUAAAAAGGUUUUCUCUUUUAAGGAGUAAUAAGACUCUCUACUAAACAAUAAGUGCAAAAUCCACACACCCACACGAAGACAUUGAAAUUCAGGCUCCUGUAAGCUGGAGAAGGACUGGAUAUGUUUCACUGGAGGACAGGACCUUAAAGAAGCACAGGUUUCCACCCUGCGAUUGUGUGUAAGUGUCCCUUAGAAUGGAUCACUAACAAGGAGAAUCACUUGAGAAAGGCACUGCUCUUAACUGAAAAGACCACCUGUUCUG
Meriones unguiculatus (Mongolian gerbil) is the source of this 1496-nucleotide long non-coding RNA. RefSeq lists it as uncharacterized. The transcript has 3 exons. NCBI's taxonomy places the organism in Eukaryota, Metazoa, Chordata, Mammalia, Rodentia, Muridae. The record is from RefSeq and is a predicted model, not a curated record.